CCUACGUGAGGCAGCAGUGAGGAAUAUUGGUCCAUGGGCGAGAGCCUGUACCAGCCAAGUCGCGUGAAGGAUGACGGCCCUACGGGUUGUCAACUUCUUUUGUCAGGGAGCAAUUGGGUCCACGCGUGGGCUUAGCGAGAGUACCUGAAGAAAAAGCAUCGGCUAACUCCGUGACAGCAGCCGCGGUAAUACGGAGGAUGCGAGCGUUAUCCGGAUUUAUUGGGUUUAAAGGGUGCGUUGGCGGAAUAUCAAGUCAGCGGUAAAAAUUCGGGGCUCAACCCCGUCGUGCCGUUGAAACUGAUGUUCUUGAGUGGGCGAGAAGUAUGCGGAAUGCGUGGUGUAGCGGUGAAAUGCAUAGAUAUCACGCAGAACUACGAUUGCGAAGGCAGCAUACCGGCGCCCAACUGACGCUGAAGCACGAAAGCGUGGGUAUCGAACAGGAUUAGAUACCCGUGUAGUC
This 460-nucleotide ribosomal RNA is filed under the name uncultured bacterium. Its description in RNAcentral is "partial 16S ribosomal RNA". It matches the Rfam family "Bacterial small subunit ribosomal RNA", at positions 338 to 795 of the family's 1533-position model. The record is from RNAcentral.